AGUUUACUGUUCUGACCUCCCAAUCAUCAUCUGCAAGCCAAAGAAGAUUUUUUCUCCUUAUUACUUUCCAGUUAUCUUGUUUGCCCUUCCAAUCAACUGCAAUCCGCAGAUUAGGACUCCUCAUUAUUUGGUUUUGCGGAAAAGAAACUUGAUCCACAAUGAAUCCACAACAAAGAAUAUGAAAACCAUCUUGAUCCUACAUAACAUAAUCUGAUGCGGUGAUAUUAUUCUUAUUAAUCUUUAUUAUAGAAACAUAUACAAUAUAUUUUUUUCAAGAUUUAUUUAUAAAUCUAUUACCAGUUAUAAUAUGUUAACCUGUUCAAAG
This is a long non-coding RNA of Pseudophryne corroboree (corroboree frog), 325 nucleotides long. RefSeq lists it as uncharacterized. The record is from RefSeq and is a predicted model, not a curated record. The transcript is spliced from 3 exons. Lineage: Eukaryota; Metazoa; Chordata; Amphibia; Anura; Myobatrachidae.